This is a long non-coding RNA of Bombus impatiens (common eastern bumble bee), 697 nucleotides long. RefSeq lists it as uncharacterized. Lineage: Eukaryota; Metazoa; Arthropoda; Insecta; Hymenoptera; Apidae. The record is from RefSeq and is a predicted model, not a curated record. The transcript is spliced from 2 exons.
GUUCGCGAUCGAAGCUUGUGGUGGUGUCUUCGUCGAUUCCAAUUUCCAAUAUAUCUUUUAAAUUUACGUUAAAUAUUUCAAUCGUUCCAUAAAUUUUGCUAGUGUUCUUCCCUUGAUGCAUUUGUGGUUGCAUCUUGCAUUAAACUCUAAAAGUAACGUGAUAUAUUUCUACGAUUCUACGAGAUAUCAAUGCUUGUCAAAUCGCGGUCGAAGUCUAGUCAACGAUCAAGUAAAAACGAACAUUUCGCGAAAAAAUUUUAUGGUAACGAAUAUAUUAAAAAUAUUUUUCUAUUUAUACCAAUUAUCGAUAAUUUCGAGGACAAAAGUACGUUGCAUUUAUACGUAAUUUGGGUGUAACACAAGUUUAUGACGUCAAGUACAGACUUCAAAUUAUUUACGAUCAAGGUUAUUCAUCAAAUGCUACUCGUGAUGGUAUACCAACUGUCGUCCAUUCGCAAUGUGUCCAAGUUUCCACCUCAAAAAGAGCGCAUAAUCGAUGAGAAAUAGGGAAAAUGACAGUGGACAAUGAUGAUACCUAACACGAGCAACACUUGUAACAAAAGUAUCAGCUGCGGUUACGGAUCGUAGACUGGUUAAAUAUUCAUCAAUAGCGUGUCUGCGGAUCGUCUGUAAGUAGUCAACUAGAAAUAAGUUUAAAGCUGCUCAAGUAUUAUGCACCCAAAGCAAAAAGAAAAAA